CUCUUUUUCUUUUUUUUUUAUUUUUUAUUUUACUUAUUUAUUUAUUUAUUUUUUUCUUUUUGAGACAGGGUCUUGCUGGCUAUGCCGUUCAGGCUGGCCUUGAGCUCACUUUGUAGCCCAGGCUGGUCUCGAACUCGCAAUGAUCCUCCUGCCUCAGCCUCCCGAGUGCUGGAAUGACAGGUGUGCACCACCACGCCUGGCCAACCUGGGCAGGAUAGAGAGACCCGUCUCAGGAUUGUCAGAGGCCAUCCAGGCUGGGCUGGAACCUGCGACCCUCCUGCCUCAGCCUCCCAGUGCUCAGAUGCCAGGCACGCAGGCGAGCAGCACCCCAGUGGCAGAGAAGUGUGCACCCCUGGACCCCGAGCCAGGAGGAAAUCUUCCAGUGUUCUUUCUCUCCCUCUGGCUGUCCUGACUGCAUAGACUGGUGAGGUGCCUGUGUC
RNAcentral lists this long non-coding RNA (440 nucleotides) under Chinchilla lanigera (long-tailed chinchilla). RNAcentral describes it as "lncRNA (ENSCLAG00000026525.1)". Lineage: Eukaryota; Metazoa; Chordata; Mammalia; Rodentia; Chinchillidae. The record is from RNAcentral.